UAUUACUACUUUUCAAUAAUAUAGACAUAUAUUAUUGUGGCGAGCAUUUGGCCCAAGAUUAUAUAUACAAAAGACGUAUAUAUAUCAAUCAACUGAAGAUAAGAAGAAAUUAAGAAAGAGUCUACAUUAACACCCAAUUUCAUCUACAUUUUUUACAUUGGCUAGCCAGCCAGUCUUCUAUUCAAGUUUUGUUCCCACUUCAAGGGGGGAGAGAGAAGAAUCGAGUUACAAAGCUAUUUUGGAACUGGGAAAACAAACUUGAAGAGAAAAAAAAGAAUCUAGACUGUGGUUUGUAGGAAAAAGAUUUUCAAAUCACAAAGACUGUACAAGACUAUUUUCUACAACUGAGACAAAAAGCACAAGAUACAACGUGAAUUCUAGAAGCAAGCACGUGGCAGAGAUUGUCAAAUGUCCAGAAUCAAGCGUCCAGAACUGCGCAGCUGUGUGGAUGAAGCAACGAAAUAGACAGAAAUAACUGAUCUGGUGAGUAACAUGGAAUUCAUAAAUGAUGUUGCAGAGAAAAGUAAAUUGCAGUUUGCAUGUAAUAGCAGAUAUUCAGAUGCUGUAUUGUGGCAAUCUUUAUACACACAAUGUGAAAUUGCCAAUAGUGAAAUUGACAAGAAAUUGUUUGUUAAUAAGAAAAAACAAAAGAUCAGAAAUGUUAUGAAACUAGUCUGUACUUACAAUGCAUUGAUUUGUAAACGAAAUGCAGGUCAAGACAAUUUAGAAUCAGCAGAAAAAGAAGUAGAUUUGAAUGGGUUAACAGAAGACAAAUCAGAUUUAAAUGAACAGUGUAACAAUGUAACAGAGAUAACAUUGUCAGAAAAAGUCUGUGAAUUAAAGGAUAGAGUUGAACUAAGAAAUGAUCUUAUUUGCCAGCUUAGAAAUGAAGUUAAACUAGUGUGUGUUAAUACAAGAAACAUACAGGCACAGAAUCUAAUCCCAGAAGCAAUAGAUACUGAAAAUGUAUCCUCACAGAAUGAUUUUGCAGAAAUGUUGGAAAAACUAAAACCACACAAGGGGGAGGAUAUAUUUAGUUUUCUUGUAAAAUUUGAAAGUGCAUAUAGACUUGUUGCUGAUUUUUCUGAAGAUCAGUUAAUUAAUGAAUUUGUGAAAAAAAUUCAAGAUCUAGAUCCAACUGCAAUUGUGUUAGCUAGAGAAAAAAGCACUUUGACAGAAGUAGCUUUGUUCUUGGAUAACUUAAGGAGGGAAACCAAGAAUGAAGGGGUUAAAACGACUUGUGGAUUUAGGCAGAGAAAGAAGUGCAGAUGUUACAGCCCCCGUCCCCCUCCUUCUUCUUCUUCUAGGACAGAGUGUAGAGUGAUACAGACAGCUGAGCCCCUCCCAAUUUAUUCAACUAAAAACUGUAGGGUUGAUAAUAUAGGGCAAAAUAUAACUCCUAAAGUUAUUUGUUUUUGGUGCAACAAACAACAUUAUUUAAGAUCUUGCAGAUAUUUUAUCCGAGAUAUCAAAUCAAAAGCAAAUGAGAAAUUAAAUUUGUUGAUUGAAAAUUUUGACAGAGAAAAUACACGUGGAGAUAAAUCAAUAAAGGCCUUUCCUUGUAAACUUAUAAUCAGACAAAUAAAAGCAAUUUUAGCUAAAUCGAAAUUAGGAGACAGACAAGCAAUGCAGUGUAACACAGAAAGUUAUAAGAAUCAGAUAACUUCACGAGACAUGAUCAGUUUAGGGAAUGAGCAUGGUUAUGUGUGCCAACAGAUGUACACAGGCUGAUUCCAGAAUUAAGAACAGCACAAGAAUAGAGAUCUAUGUUAGUUUGUUGUUUUAAAUGAAUUGUUAGUCUGUACUGUUUUUUCAUUGUUUUAUGUGUGUUAUAAGAAAGUAUUAGGUUAAUUAAUUAAAAUAAAAAUACACAUCAAGUUUGCAAAUAUGGCAGAAUGAAAUACACUAAUGUAGCAGUUAGGAACAUGCAAUGUUAUAUUGGGUGUAUGCGAUUAUACAGUAACUCCAAUCAUUUUACAGAAGGUAAAAACAAUGUUGUUACUUCUGAGGUUGAUUUAAAAUCUUUGAUUUAAUUCAUGAGAAUGAGAUUUUAAUAUCAUGACUGAUAAUGGAUUACUAUAUUUUGCAAAGCCUGGACAUACAUAUGUUUUGAUUAUUUAGAAGACAAAAGUUUUGAUAGAAUAAAACCUAGAUUUACAAAUACAUUUGAUGAAGGAAACAAUAUAUGUUUUUUGUAGUUUGUUUCAUGUGACAAAAUGGUGCCAGUGUUCAGACAAGAUGGCUGCUAUUGCUAAAGUAUAGUGGAAAACAAUAUUUUGUUGUAACAUCUUAUAUGUGAUUAGGUUAUACCUCCAGAUUAUUAAACAGUUUAAAAGGGGGGUAUGAUUAAUAAAAUGUUCAGAAAGAUUUGAAUAUAAAGGAAAUUUAAAGAUUAUACAUCACAUGGCAUAAAUGUAAUGACCACUAGAUGGUAGAUCUCAUGAGAAGAAAUUAGUAUGUUUUGUGUAGUCAAUAUAAUUCAAUGUUAAACUGUGUAAUAAUAAUGAGAUAUAAACAUUGUAAGCCAUUGUAUUGAUGCUGCACAUGUUAUUUGUUUUAAUGUAGGUAAAGCGUGACAGAUCCUUGUGGCAAUAAAUCAGGAAAGCAUUCCUUUAGACAACUGGACAUCGACUGUUGGAAAGAGACUUUGAUCUGAUCUGCAAAC
This 2665-nucleotide long non-coding RNA is filed under the name Pelobates cultripes (western spadefoot toad). The record is from RNAcentral. Lineage: Eukaryota; Metazoa; Chordata; Amphibia; Anura; Pelobatidae.